CCUAAAACCCGCCAGACUUUCUAUAAGAAGUGUGGCAAGCACCAACCCCACAAAGUGACACUGUACACGAAGGAGAAGGAUUCUCUGUAUGCCCAGGGAAAGCGGCGUUAUGACAGGAAGCAGAGUGGCUAUCGUGGGCAAAUUAAGCCGAUUUUCCAGGAAAGGGCUAAAACUACAGAAAAUUGUGCCAAGGCUUGAGUGCGUUGAGCCCAGCUGCAGCUCUAAGAGAGUGCUGGCUAUUAAAAUAUGCUAGCAUUUUGAACUGGGAGGAGGUAAGAAGAGAAACGGCCAAGUGAUCCAG
Molecule: long non-coding RNA, 301 nt
Filed under: Homo sapiens (human)
Lineage: Eukaryota; Metazoa; Chordata; Mammalia; Primates; Hominidae
Description: non-protein coding lnc-CCDC3-6:1
Source: RNAcentral